UACGGCGGGUGCAAGCGUUAAUCGGAAUUACUGGGCGUAAAGCGCACGUAGGCGGACUCUUAAGUCAGAUGUGAAAGCCCCGGGCUUAACCUGGGAAAGCCAUCUGAUACUGAGAGACUAGAGUAUGAUAGAGGGUAGUGGAAUUUCCGGUGUAGCGGUGAAAUGCGUAGAUAUCGGAAGGAACAUCAAUGGCGAAGGCAGCUGCCUGGGUCAAUACUGACGCUGAGGUGCGAAAGCGUGGGGAGCAAACAGG
RNAcentral lists this ribosomal RNA (253 nucleotides) under uncultured bacterium. RNAcentral describes it as "partial 16S ribosomal RNA". It matches the Rfam family "Bacterial small subunit ribosomal RNA", at positions 524 to 776 of the family's 1533-position model. The record is from RNAcentral.